CACUCCUGCGGGAGGCAGCAGUGGGGAAUAUUGGACAAUGGGCGCAAGCCUGAUCCAGCCAUGCCGCGUGAGUGAUGAAGGCCCUAGGGUUGUAAAGCUCUUUCACCGGUGAAGAUAAUGACGGUAACCGGAGAAGAAGCCCCGGCUAACUUCGUGCCAGCAGCCGCGGUAAUACGAAGGGGGCUAGCGUUGUUCGGAUUUACUGGGCGUAAAGCGCACGUAGGCGGACUAUUAAGUCAGGGGUGAAAUCCCGGGGCUCAACCCCGGAACUGCCUUUGAUACUGGUAGUCUUGAGUGCGAGAGAGGUGAGUGGAAUUCCGAGUGUAGAGGUGAAAUUCGUAGAUAUUCGGAGGAACACCAGUGGCGAAGGCGGCUCACUGGCUCGAUACUGACGCUGAGGUGCGAAAGCGUGGGGAGCAAACAGGAUUAGAUACCCUAGUAGUCCCAUGA
RNAcentral lists this ribosomal RNA (450 nucleotides) under uncultured organism. RNAcentral's name for it is "partial 16S ribosomal RNA". It matches the Rfam family "Bacterial small subunit ribosomal RNA", at positions 334 to 800 of the family's 1533-position model. The record is from RNAcentral.